GUGCUCACUUUGGCAGCAAAUAUACUAAAAUUGGAAUGAUACAGAGAAGAUUAGUAUGGCCCCCACACAACAUGACAUGCAAAUUCCAAAAGACUCCAUAUUUUC
RNAcentral lists this small nuclear RNA (105 nucleotides) under Chinchilla lanigera (long-tailed chinchilla). Lineage: Eukaryota; Metazoa; Chordata; Mammalia; Rodentia; Chinchillidae. The record is from RNAcentral.